GUGCCAGCAGCCGCGGUAAUACGGAGGGUGCGAGCGUUGUCCGGAAUCACUGGGCGUAAAGGGCGCGUAGGCGGCAGGUCAAGCGUGUGGUGAAAGCCCGGGGCUCAACCCCGGGUCGGCCAUGCGGACUGGCGUGCUUGAGCACUGUAGGGGCGGGUGGAAUUCCGGGUGUAGCGGUGGAAUGCGUAGAGAUCCGGAAGAACACCGGUGGCGAAGGCGGCCCGCUGGGCAGGAAGAUGGAGCAAUCCAUCGGCUGACGCUGAGGCGCGACAGCGUGGGGAGCAAACAGGAUUAGAUACCCUGGUAGUCC
Molecule: ribosomal RNA, 310 nt
Filed under: uncultured bacterium
Lineage: Bacteria
Description: bacterial SSU rRNA
Rfam family: Bacterial small subunit ribosomal RNA
Source: RNAcentral